This 1432-nucleotide ribosomal RNA is filed under the name Agromyces sp. MMD3Y-10-4. RNAcentral's name for it is "bacterial SSU rRNA". It matches the Rfam family "Bacterial small subunit ribosomal RNA". Lineage: Bacteria; Bacillati; Actinomycetota; Actinomycetes; Micrococcales; Microbacteriaceae. RNAcentral also lists the same sequence under 1 other name. The record is from RNAcentral.
GCAAGUCGACGAUGAACUUGGAGCUUGCUCUGGGGGAUUAGUGGCGAACGGGUGAGUAACACGUGAGUAACCUGCCCUGGACUCUGGGAUAACCCCGAGAAAUCGGAGCUAAUACCGGAUAGGACCUGGAACCGCAUGGUUUUGGGUGGAAAGUUUUUUCGGUCUGGGAUGGACUCGCGGCCUAUCAGCUUGUUGGUGAGGUAAUGGCUCACCAAGGCGUCGACGGGUAGCCGGCCUGAGAGGGUGACCGGCCACACUGGGACUGAGACACGGCCCAGACUCCUACGGGAGGCAGCAGUGGGGAAUAUUGCACAAUGGGCGAAAGCCUGAUGCAGCAACGCCGCGUGAGGGAUGACGGCCUUCGGGUUGUAAACCUCUUUUAGUAGGGAAGAAGGGCUUCGGCUUGACGGUACCUGCAGAAAAAGCACCGGCUAACUACGUGCCAGCAGCCGCGGUAAUACGUAGGGUGCGAGCGUUGUCCGGAAUUAUUGGGCGUAAAGAGCUCGUAGGCGGUUUGUCACGUCUGCUGUGAAAUCCCGAGGCUCAACCUCGGGCCUGCAGUGGGUACGGGCAGACUGGAGUGCGGUAGGGGAGAUUGGAAUUCCUGGUGUAGCGGUGGAAUGCGCAGAUAUCAGGAGGAACACCGAUGGCGAAGGCAGAUCUCUGGGCCGUAACUGACGCUGAGGAGCGAAAGCGUGGGGAGCGAACAGGAUUAGAUACCCUGGUAGUCCACGCCGUAAACGUUGGGCGCUAGAUGUGGGGACCAUUCCACGGUUUCCGUGUCGUAGCUAACGCAUUAAGCGCCCCGCCUGGGGAGUACGGCCGCAAGGCUAAAACUCAAAGGAAUUGACGGGGGCCCGCACAAGCGGCGGAGCAUGCGGAUUAAUUCGAUGCAACGCGAAGAACCUUACCAAGGCUUGACAUAUACGAGAACGCCGCAGAAAUGUGGAACUCUUUGGACACUCGUAUACAGGUGGUGCAUGGUUGUCGUCAGCUCGUGUCGUGAGAUGUUGGGUUAAGUCCCGCAACGAGCGCAACCCUCGUCGUAUGUUGCCAGCACGUAAUGGUGGGAACUCAUAUGAGACUGCCGGGGUCAACUCGGAGGAAGGUGGGGAUGACGUCAAAUCAUCAUGCCCCUUAUGUCUUGGGCUUCACGCAUGCUACAAUGGCCGGUACAAAGGGCUGCGAUGUCGUAAGGCGGAGCGAAUCCCAAAAAGCCGGUCUCAGUUCGGAUUGAGGUCUGCAACUCGACCUCAUGAAGUCGGAGUCGCUAGUAAUCGCAGAUCAGCAACGCUGCGGUGAAUACGUUCCCGGGCCUUGUACACACCGCCCGUCAAGUCAUGAAAGUCGGUAACACCCGAAGCCGGUGGCCUAACCCUUGUGGAGGGAGCCGUCGAAGGUGGGAUCGGUGAUUAGGACUAAGUCGUAACAA